GUCGAGCGGAUGAAGGGAGCUUGCUCCUGGAUUCAGCGGCGGACGGGUGAGUAAUGCCUAGGAAUCUGCCUGGUAGUGGGGGAUAACGUCCGGAAACGGGCGCUAAUACCGCAUACGUCCUGAGGGAGAAAGUGGGGGAUCUUCGGACCUCACGCUAUCAGAUGAGCCUAGGUCGGAUUAGCUAGUUGGUGGGGUAAAGGCCUACCAAGGCGACGAUCCGUAACUGGUCUGAGAGGAUGAUCAGUCACACUGGAACUGAGACACGGUCCAGACUCCUACGGGAGGCAGCAGUGGGGAAUAUUGGACAAUGGGCGAAAGCCUGAUCCAGCCAUGCCGCGUGUGUGAAGAAGGUCUUCGGAUUGUAAAGCACUUUAAGUUGGGAGGAAGGGCAGUAAGUUAAUACCUUGCUGUUUUGACGUUACCAACAGAAUAAGCACCGGCUAACUUCGUGCCAGCAGCCGCGGUAAUACGAAGGGUGCAAGCGUUAAUCGGAAUUACUGGGCGUAAAGCGCGCGUAGGUGGUUCAGCAAGUUGGAUGUGGAAUCCCCGGGCUCAACCUGGGAACUGCAUCCAAAACUACUGAGCUAGAGUACGGUAGAGGGUGGUGGAAUUUCCUGUGUAGCGGUGAAAUGCGUAGAUAUAGGAAGGAACACCAGUGGCGAAGGCGACCACCUGGACUGAUACUGACACUGAGGUGCGAAAGCGUGGGGAGCAAACAGGAUUAGA
RNAcentral lists this ribosomal RNA (726 nucleotides) under uncultured bacterium. RNAcentral's name for it is "bacterial SSU rRNA". It matches the Rfam family "Bacterial small subunit ribosomal RNA", at positions 61 to 782 of the family's 1533-position model. The record is from RNAcentral.